CCCGGCUGCUAUUUGGGUGAGGAUAAGCCAUGCCAGUCGUAUGGGAUACCUAAACUUCCCAUGGCAAACUGCUCAGUAACACAUGAUUAACUUACCCUAAAGAAAAUAAUAACCUCGGGAAACUGAGGAUAAUAAUUUAUAGUUGAGAAGGCUUGGAAAAGUUUUUCAAUGAAAUGGAUAAGAAAAAUGGUUCUUAUCUGCUUUAGGAUAGGAUCGUGGUCGAUUAUGGCUGUUGGUGAGGUAACGGCUCACCAAACCUAUAAUCGAUAAGGGCCGUGAGAGCGGGAGCCCUGAGAUGGGUCCUGAGACAAUGACCCAGGCCUUACGAGGCGCAGCAGGCGCGAAACCUCCGCAAUACACGAAAGUGUGACGGGGUUACCCAAAGUGUUCAUUUAUGGACUGUGGUAGGUGAGUAAUGUCCCCUACUAGAAAGGAGAGGGCAAGGCUGGUGCCAGCCGCCGCGGUAAAACCAGCUCUUCAAGUGGUCGGGAUAAUUAUUGGGCUUAAAGUGUCCGUAGCCGGUUUAGUAAGUUCCUGGUAAAAUCGGAUAGCUUAACUAUCUGUAUGCUAGGAAUACUGCUAUACUAGAGGGCGGGAGAGGUCUGAGGUACUACAGGGGUAGGGGUGAAAUCCUAUAAUCCUUGUCGGACCACCAGUGGCGAAGGCGUCAGACUGGAACGCGCCUGACGGUGAGGGACGAAAGCCAGGGGAGCGAACCGGAUUAGAUACCCGGGUAGUCCUGGCCGUAAACGAUGCAUACUAGGUGAUGGUACGGCCAUGGGCCAUAUCAGUGCCGUAGAGAAACCGUUAAGUGUGCCGCCUGGGAAGUACGGUCGCAAGGCUAAAACUUAAAGGAAUUGGCGGGGGAGCACCACAAGGGGUGAAGCCUGCGGUUCAAUUGGAUUCAACGCCGG
Molecule: ribosomal RNA, 914 nt
Filed under: uncultured archaeon
Lineage: Archaea
Description: bacterial SSU rRNA
Rfam family: Archaeal small subunit ribosomal RNA
Source: RNAcentral